UGGCCCCCGGGUAGCCCUUUUCUAUUGGCACAGCUGCUGGCAUUCCCCUGUGCAAGCUUCCAGCUUGCUUAUGUAUGUUUGCAGCUCAAUGUUUUAGGCUGCUCUUUGUUAGGAAAAAAUAAUUUCUUGGGCUGAUUUCUCUUAAAAGGAAAGCUCUGCUGAGGACUCUUUUACCUUCACUAUCUGCCUAAAUAAUUUCUUUCUGCCUCCUGUAUCAUCGUGGCCACCAGUGGACCCACCACAACCACCACCAUCAUGACCACUACCAUCAGCACCACACACUGUCACUUGCAUCUGGCCACUGAAUGGGCCAGGUCUCUCCAGCAGCACUGCUUCCACAAAGCCAAGCCUGGUGGCUGAUAGGCGGCUUCUCUCUCAGCUGGGAGAGAUCUGUGCCUAAUGGUUGGGCCACUUGCAAGAGCCACUCACGCCAGCAAGCUCUUUUCCAAGGCAUACCAGACCCUGAGCCCAGGGUUCAUGAUUGGGCUCCACAUGUGUCAGCAGCUUUGGCAGGGAUGGCAGCAGAACUUGAGAAGCUGAGACCAUGUGCUAUGGUGCUGGGGAGGAGGAGAUGUGAAAACAACUCUUUUAGCAUCAUAAUGUUUUUCUUCAUCUGGACAUGAUAUUAAUGAGAUUCCUGUGAUAUGCUGUAACGUGUAGAUUGUGUAGUGAUCCAGUGAGGGGAUAUAGGACAUCCAUCCUGUGGGUAUCUGUCAUCUCUACCUGUUGGGAACAUCUCAAGUGCUGUCUUCUAGCUCUUUGGAAACACACUCUAGUAGAGUUAAGUAAGUAGAGAUAAGUAAGUAGAGAUAGGUAGGGACAGACAGGGACAGAUAGGGAUAGAUAAAGACCAGCAAAGACUUGGAAUAUAAGGUCAGUGCCCCAAAGAGGUACAAAAGUAGAGACUAGCAAAGACUAGCAGAGAUUUUCAGGGACAGAUAGGGACAGAUAGGGUCCUAUAGGGACUUGAAUGAGGAAGGUCUGCUGGAACAGAAAAAAUUAAAGAACAGAAAAAACUAAAACCAACCAGAUAAAUGAGAAAUCCCGUUACAAGUCUGCCGGCAGCAACAUAAGGUCAUUGCUCUAAAAAGGUACUGGUCAGUGCCCUAGAGGUACAAAGAAUGGGAAUUUUUUUAAUCAGGGUAACAUGAGGAAGAAUUUGGUUAUUUCUUUUCUCUUUUUUGUUUGGAGUUUGGUACAUACCAUCUUCUUGUCAUUAUUUCAGGGUUUAAGAUAAUUGUUUUGCCCCACCUAUAGCACCUAUAGAAAGUAGUGAACAGGAGAGGGAGAAUGAAAAUUGGCUUGUACCAUCUUUUAUGGCUACAGAAAGGCUAACUUUAGCUUUGGCUUUCGUGGAUUGUAAACGUGUGCUGGCACCUGUGAGGUGUGCAGAGGACUUGGGAGGUUUUCUCCGAGCUUGUCAAGAGGUGGGAACUGAGCUUCAUUGCUCUGCAGUAUUGACUCAGGAAAUGGCUACUUUGGUAACUGACAGAUCUAAAAGAAGCCAAGGGUCAAACCCUAAAGUGGGAAAGUGUUAUAAGUAUAGAAAAAUUGGACACUUCAAAAAAGAAGGCUGCCAGACCUCUGGGAAAAAGGGAUCUUAUAGUUCCCAUCUUAACAGAAAAAACACCAGGACUUUGCCCUCCUUGUAAUAGUGGAAAUCACUGGGCUAAUCAAUGCCACUCAAAAUUUCAUCAAAGUGGCAUCCCCCUGUUGGGAAACGAGAAGGGGGUCUGGACCCAGGUACCUCAAACUAUGAAGGCAUUCCCUGUCCAGGCCACAACUUCAUCUCAGGGUGGGUUUCCGGAGGCACAUUGGUUCCCUCUCCCUGGGAACACCUGGAAACACAGUAUUAGCUCUCCUAGAUAGAGAACAAAUUAUGUUAACUAGAGGAAACAAACUCACUAAGAUUCCCAUUGGUAUUUGGGGAUCUUUGCCAACAAGAUACAUGGGAUUGAUUUUGGUAAAAGCUGUCUUACAGGCCCAGGAGUUGUUGAUUUUGAUCGUGAAGGAGAAAUUCAGGUAGUGGUAAUGUCACAAGAUCUUUGGGUUUUUGAAACGGGAGAGUGUAUUGCUCAGUUGUUGCUUAUUCCCUGUAAAUUGUAUCGUUCUCUACCCAAGAAGAAAGAGGAGGUCAGGGAUUUGGAAGCACACCUAAGAGAUUUAUCUAUCACAAUGCAUAGCAUCUCACAGACCCACUUGUGCAGUGUAGAUUGAAGAAAAGUUUUGUGGGCUUAUGGAUACGGGAGCAAGAGACUGGUCUCUCGUGGUAAUAGAUCUUGAAGAUUAUUUACGAGAAGGAGAAGUCUUCAUUUGCUUUUUCUGUGUCUUCUGUUAAUCAGAAAGAUCCUGUCUCUUCUGUGGAAAGUUUUACCCUGCAGUAAUUAACCAAAGAGGCAGAAGCUGAGUUUUACAGCUUGUAGAACAAAUGCUCAGCAACGGCAUGCCUCCUGGCUACAGCCACAAGAGCCUUUGCCUUUGUUUCAGUAGAUUUACUAACGUGGGGAUGAGGGUAUGCUUGUGUCCUUACAGAAGAUGAACAAACCAUGUGGGUGCCCUCAAGGUGUGUAUGACCAUGGAAUGGGAGACUGGAAGGACCCAUGGAUCCCAACCAUGGACCUGGUUCCCCAGUAUGAGCCAUGAACCACUUGAAUUUGAAUGCGAAGAUGAAACGAGGACCAACCGGAGUCAUGCUGACAUCAACCCCGAUAACAUGGGGACAGAUCAGGAAAACCACACAGGAAGCUGAGAAACUGCUGGAGUGCCAGGGUUUCACCUUUUGCUGGAACUCAGAGCUUGGUGGACAGCCUGUGGAUAAAGUGAAGGUAAAUGCUGUCUAAAAUGAGGAGAGGACACACACAAACACACUGAAAAGAAGUCCGUCUGAAGGUGUAGACAGAGACUCAAGUCAUGUUGCCAAAGACCAAGGAAUGUCAAGGAUAUCUGGGAGUCAGCAGAAGAAGCCAAACAUCAUUUUGUGAGGACACACAGGUACUUCGAAGAAGCCAGUAGACAUUUUGUAGGACAUACAGGCAGCCGAUGGAGAGGCCCACAUGUGGAAGAGCUAAGGCUACCUAAGUGAGCAACCACCAGAAUGAGCUUGGAAUGGCAUGCUCCAGCCUCAGUUGAAACUUCAAAUAAUGGCAGCCCCAGCUAACAGCUUGACUGUAACCUCAUGAGGACCCUGUGCCAGAACCAUGAGGCUAAGCUACUCCUGAUUCCUAACCCACAGAAACUGUGACAUAAUAAAUAUUUGUUAGCUUAAAUUGGUAAGUUUUACAGUAACUUAUUAUGCAGUCAUAGAUAACUAAUAUAAGUAGUUCAUUAGAAAAGUAAAUGGUAUCAAAGUAUAAUCAUAUAGGUGAUAAUAAAUCAUGUGUAUGUAUUUUUCACAUAACCCCCUGAAAUUCAUGACAUGAUAAUAUGAUGAGU
This 3432-nucleotide long non-coding RNA is filed under the name Homo sapiens (human). Its description in RNAcentral is "HSALNT0296207". Lineage: Eukaryota; Metazoa; Chordata; Mammalia; Primates; Hominidae. The record is from RNAcentral.